GGAUUAGAUACCCUGGUAGUCCACGCCGUAAACGUUGUGCACUAGGUCGGAGGGGUUCUCACGCCGUUCCGGCCGAAGGUAAACCGAUAAGUGCACCGCCUGGGGAGUACGGUCGCAAGGCUAAAACUCAAAGGAAUUGACGGGGGCUCACACAAGCGGUGGAGCAUGUUGCUUAAUUCGAGGCAACGCGAAGAACCUUACCUGGGUUUGACAUGGACGGAUUAACUCUCUGAAAGGAGAGACACGCACUCACGGGUGGAACGUUCACAGGUGCUGCAUGGCUGUCGUCAGCUCGUGCCG
Molecule: ribosomal RNA, 300 nt
Filed under: uncultured bacterium
Lineage: Bacteria
Description: bacterial SSU rRNA
Rfam family: Bacterial small subunit ribosomal RNA
Source: RNAcentral